RNAcentral lists this ribosomal RNA (335 nucleotides) under uncultured bacterium. RNAcentral describes it as "bacterial SSU rRNA". It matches the Rfam family "Bacterial small subunit ribosomal RNA", at positions 58 to 371 of the family's 1533-position model. The record is from RNAcentral.
CAAGUCGAACGCUCAUUUGGCGGUAGCAAUAUUGUCAAGUGGGAGUGGCGCAAGGGUGCGUAACACGUGGGUAAUUUGCCAUGAAGACCAGGAUAACUCGCUGAAAGGCGAGCUAAUACUGGAUGUGGCCACUGGGAGGCAUCUCUUGGUGGCUGAAGUUGGGGACUGUGAAAGGCCUGACGCUUCAUGAUAAGCCCGCGGCCUAUCAGCUAGUUGGUGAGGUAACGGCUCACCAAGGCUAAGACGGGUAGCUGGUCUGAGAGGACGACCAGCCACACUGGAACUGAGACACGUCCAGACACCUACGGGUGGCAGCAGUCGAGAAUUUUUCUCAA